UACGUAGGGGGCAAGCGUUGUCCGGAUUUAUUGGGCGUAAAGAGCGUGUAGGCGGCUUGGUAGGUCCGCUGUGAAAACUCGAGGCUCAACCUCGAGAUGUCGGCGGAAACCACUUGGCUAGAGUCCGGAAGAGGAGAGUGGAAUUCCCGGUGUAGCGGUGAAAUGCGCAGAUAUCGGGAAGAACACCUAUGGCGAAGGCAGCUCUCUGGGGACGGUACUGACGCUGAGACGCGAAAGCGUGGGGAGCGAACAGG
RNAcentral lists this ribosomal RNA (254 nucleotides) under uncultured bacterium. RNAcentral's name for it is "partial 16S ribosomal RNA". It matches the Rfam family "Bacterial small subunit ribosomal RNA", at positions 524 to 776 of the family's 1533-position model. The record is from RNAcentral.